This 440-nucleotide long non-coding RNA is filed under the name Helianthus annuus (common sunflower). The record is from RNAcentral. Lineage: Eukaryota; Viridiplantae; Streptophyta; Magnoliopsida; Asterales; Asteraceae.
GGUAUCCCACUCAGAUCUAUCAAGACAUGUGGUGACCAACACUUCUUCAUAUGAUUAUCCAAUCGUUGAUGUCUGCUUCAGAUUCAAAUCUUUCAAAUAACUUAAGAGUGUUACUACCCAUGUAAUGUAGGUGGGAAUGGCUUAACCGAAGGUUAUCAUCACAAUGGGCUGCGCUAAGAAGCCAAUGGAUGAUGUUUUACAGAAGUGUUUGUGUUGGCCCAGCUCCCUGUUAAAUUAAUCCCAGAAUAGAAAAUAAUUGAUAAACAGAGAUUUUCACAAAACAAAAUGGAUAAACACUUUUAUAUAUUGUGUUAAAAAGGAUGGAGCAAAUUAUGGAUCACUCUAUGUUCCUUUGUUGCAGAAACUCAGUAAACACAGGAAAUUUAUACGGUUCUAGUUGCAAGUAUAAACUGAAGAUGUUGGUUUCGGUUGCAAGUAUG